UUAAGCGACUAAGCGUACACGGUGGAUGCCCUGGCAGUCAGAGGCGAUGAAGGACGUGCUAAUCUGCGAUAAGCGUCGGUAAGGUGAUAUGAACCGUUAUAACCGGCGAUUUCCGAAUGGGGAAACCCAGUGUGUUUCGACACACUAUCAUUAACUGAAUCCAUAGGUUAAUGAGGCGAACCGGGGGAACUGAAACAUCUAAGUACCCCGAGGAAAAGAAAUCAACCGAGAUUCCCCCAGUAGCGGCGAGCGAACGGGGAGGAGCCCAGAGCCUGAAUCAGUGUGUGUGUUAGUGGAAGCGUCUGGAAAGGCGCGCGAUACAGGGUGACAGCCCCGUACACAAAAAUGCACAUGCUGUGAGCUCGAUGAGUAGGGCGGGACACGUGGUAUCCUGUCUGAAUAUGGGGGGACCAUCCUCCAAGGCUAAAUACUCCUGACUGACCGAUAGUGAACCAGUACCGUGAGGGAAAGGCGAAAAGAACCCCGGCGAGGGGAGUGAAAAAGAACCUGAAACCGUGUACGUACAAGCAGUGGGAGCACGCUUAGGCGUGUGACUGCGUACCUUUUGUAUAAUGGGUCAGCGACUUAUAUUCUGUAGCAAGGUUAACCGAAUAGGGGAGCCGAAGGGAAACCGAGUCUUAACUGGGCGUUAAGUUGCAGGGUAUAGACCCGAAACCCGGUGAUCUAGCCAUGGGCAGGUUGAAGGUUGGGUAACACUAACUGGAGGACCGAACCGACUAAUGUUGAAAAAUUAGCGGAUGACUUGUGGCUGGGGGUGAAAGGCCAAUCAAACCGGGAGAUAGCUGGUUCUCCCCGAAAGCUAUUUAGGUAGCGCCUCGUGAAUUCAUCUCCGGGGGUAGAGCACUGUUUCGGCAAGGGGGUCAUCCCGACUUACCAACCCGAUGCAAACUGCGAAUACCGGAGAAUGUUAUCACGGGAGACACACGGCGGGUGCUAACGUCCGUCGUGAAGAGGGAAACAACCCAGACCGCCAGCUAAGGUCCCAAAGUCAUGGUUAAGUGGGAAACGAUGUGGGAAGGCCCAGACAGCCAGGAUGUUGGCUUAGAAGCAGCCAUCAUUUAAAGAAAGCGUAAUAGCUCACUGGUCGAGUCGGCCUGCGCGGAAGAUGUAACGGGGCUAAACCAUGCACCGAAGCUGCGGCAGCGACGCUGAUGCGUUGUUGGGUAGGGGAGCGUUCUGUAAGCCUGCGAAGGUGUGCUGUGAGGCAUGCUGGAGGUAUCAGAAGUGCGAAUGCUGACAUAAGUAACGAUAAAGCGGGUGAAAAGCCCGCUCGCCGGAAGACCAAGGGUUCCUGUCCAACGUUAAUCGGGGCAGGGUGAGUCGACCCCUAAGGCGAGGCCGAAAGGCGUAGUCGAUGGGAAACAGGUUAAUAUUCCUGUACUUGGUGUUACUGCGAAGGGGGGACGGAGAAGGCUAUGUUGGCCGGGCGACGGUUGUCCCGGUUUAAGCGUGUAGGCUGGUUUUCCAGGCAAAUCCGGAAAAUCAAGGCUGAGGCGUGAUGACGAGGCACUACGGUGCUGAAGCAACAAAUGCCCUGCUUCCAGGAAAAGCCUCUAAGCAUCAGGUAACAUCAAAUCGUACCCCAAACCGACACAGGUGGUCAGGUAGAGAAUACCAAGGCGCUUGAGAGAACUCGGGUGAAGGAACUAGGCAAAAUGGUGCCGUAACUUCGGGAGAAGGCACGCUGAUAUGUAGGUGAAGUCCCUCGCGGAUGGAGCUGAAAUCAGUCGAAGAUACCAGCUGGCUGCAACUGUUUAUUAAAAACACAGCACUGUGCAAACACGAAAGUGGACGUAUACGGUGUGACGCCUGCCCGGUGCCGGAAGGUUAAUUGAUGGGGUUAGCGCAAGCGAAGCUCUUGAUCGAAGCCCCGGUAAACGGCGGCCGUAACUAUAACGGUCCUAAGGUAGCGAAAUUCCUUGUCGGGUAAGUUCCGACCUGCA
This 1964-nucleotide ribosomal RNA is filed under the name Escherichia coli 2-460-02_S3_C2. RNAcentral's name for it is "bacterial LSU rRNA". It matches the Rfam family "Bacterial large subunit ribosomal RNA", at positions 1 to 1992 of the family's 2925-position model. Lineage: Bacteria; Pseudomonadati; Pseudomonadota; Gammaproteobacteria; Enterobacterales; Enterobacteriaceae. The record is from RNAcentral.